CUUUCAGCUGUCGGACGCCGUCGAGACAAGUCUCAACUAGUUUCGCUCCACGUACAUGUAAUCAUUAUCGAUGACGUGAAUGCAUUGAAAUUAGAAGACGUUCACCAUCGUUCCAUGGAAAUUAUACUAAUCAAUGGUGGUAUAUACAACUGCAUACAUACGUGCAAGUGUAUUU
Molecule: long non-coding RNA, 175 nt
Filed under: Polistes fuscatus (common paper wasp)
Lineage: Eukaryota; Metazoa; Arthropoda; Insecta; Hymenoptera; Vespidae
Description: uncharacterized LOC122513998
Source: RNAcentral